UGGGAAUCUUCCGCAAUGGACGAAAGUCUGACGGAGCAACGCCGCGUGUAUGAUGAAGGUCUUCGGAUUGUAAAGUACUGUCAUUGGGGAAGAACGGUUUUCUUGAAAAGAUUGAGAAGACAUGACGGUACCCAAGGAGGAAGCCCCGGCUAACUACGUGCCAGCAGCCGCGGUAAUACGUAGGGGGCAAGCGUUGUCCGGAAUUAUUGGGCGUAAAGGGCGCGUAGGCGGGCUUUUAAGUCCGGUGUGAAAGAUCAGGGCUCAACCCUGAGAGUGCAUCGGAAACUGGAGGCCUUGAGGACAGGAGAGGAAAGUGGAAUUCCACGUGUAGCGGUGAAAUGCGUAGAUAUGUGGAGGAACACCAGUGGCGAAGGCGACUUUCUGGACUGUAACUGACGCUGAGGCGCGAAAGCGUGGGGAGC
This 422-nucleotide ribosomal RNA is filed under the name uncultured bacterium. RNAcentral describes it as "partial 16S ribosomal RNA". It matches the Rfam family "Bacterial small subunit ribosomal RNA", at positions 356 to 769 of the family's 1533-position model. The record is from RNAcentral.